GGGGUAUUUGCCUAUUUCCAAAUUUAAUGGGGUAUUUGACGAAUUUUAAAAUUUUAAGAGGGUAUUUGACGGUUUACUCAUUGUAACCCAUUACUUGGUGCAAUUAAUUCGAUUCAUUUGAGUUUUGAAUUUUCAAUAAUAUGGUAAUAAAUAUUGAAUUAUAUUCCUUAUUAGUCAACAAUCAUAAAUCAAAUUCUUCUUAACUCAGUGACCAAUCAAUUGGAUCAAUUUUCUUGAUUACAUUCUCC
Molecule: long non-coding RNA, 248 nt
Filed under: Trifolium pratense (red clover)
Lineage: Eukaryota; Viridiplantae; Streptophyta; Magnoliopsida; Fabales; Fabaceae
Description: long non-coding RNA (TPRA_LNC010257)
Source: RNAcentral